UACGGAGGAUCCAAGCGUUAUCCGGAAUCAUUGGGUUUAAAGGGUCCGUAGGCGGUUUUAUAAGUCAGUGGUGAAAUCCGGCAGCUUAACUGUCGAACUGCCAUUGAUACUGUAGAACUUGAAUUAUUGUGAAGUAACUAGAAUAUGUAGUGUAGCGGUGAAAUGCUUUAGAUAUUUACAUGGAAUACCCAUUGCGAAGGCAGGUUUACUAACAAUAUAUUGACGCUGAUGGACGAAGCGUGGAGCGAAACAGG
Molecule: ribosomal RNA, 254 nt
Filed under: uncultured bacterium
Lineage: Bacteria
Description: partial 16S ribosomal RNA
Rfam family: Bacterial small subunit ribosomal RNA
Source: RNAcentral